This is a long non-coding RNA of Notothenia coriiceps (black rockcod), 306 nucleotides long. RefSeq lists it as uncharacterized. The record is from RefSeq and is a predicted model, not a curated record. The transcript has 4 exons. Lineage: Eukaryota; Metazoa; Chordata; Actinopteri; Perciformes; Nototheniidae.
UACUGUAAACGGGCGGGAAAUUGAAAAUCUUUGAGAUUUCAAAACAUUUUCAUCACCGACUGAAUUAACGUGUAUUUAAAUAAAGAAGCAUAUUCUGCAAGAGCGGAGAUGGUGGACAGAAGUCUUGUUCAGGAAUUGAGACGUUGGGCGACAGAGGAGUUCAAUCUGCCCCCGGACAGCCUGCCAAAUGACGGCAACUUUAAAACGCUCUGCAUCGGGACAGGGAAGUCAAUAUGGAAAUAUGUCAUCCAACAUGUUUUUCAACAGAGGAAUGUCAGGAUCAUGCGUGGCAAUCUGCAGUGGUAU